UGACAAAUCACUAUGUCCUACCAGCAGU
RNAcentral lists this non-coding RNA (28 nucleotides) under Rattus norvegicus (Norway rat). Lineage: Eukaryota; Metazoa; Chordata; Mammalia; Rodentia; Muridae. The record is from RNAcentral.